Molecule: ribosomal RNA, 254 nt
Filed under: uncultured bacterium
Lineage: Bacteria
Description: partial 16S ribosomal RNA
Rfam family: Bacterial small subunit ribosomal RNA
Source: RNAcentral
UACAGAGGGUGCGAGCGUUGUUCGGAAUUACUGGGCGUAAAGCGCGCGCAGGCGGCUUUCUAAGUCUCGUGGUCAAAUGCCGGGGCUCAACCCCGAGCGUGCCAGGGAUACUGGGAAGCUGGAGACAGGUAGAGGCAAGCGGAAUUCCGGGUGUAGCGGUGGAAUGCGUAGAGAUCCGGAAGAACACCGGAGGCGAAGGCGGCUUGCUGGACCUGGUCUGACGCUGAGGCGCGAAAGCGUGGGGAGCAAACAGG